This 497-nucleotide ribosomal RNA is filed under the name uncultured bacterium. RNAcentral describes it as "partial 16S ribosomal RNA". It matches the Rfam family "Bacterial small subunit ribosomal RNA", at positions 28 to 507 of the family's 1533-position model. The record is from RNAcentral.
GAUGAACGCUGGCGGCGUGCCUAAUACAUGCAAGUCGAGCGAACGGACGAGAAGCUUGCUUCUCUGAUGUUAGCGGCGGACGGGUGAGCAACACGUGGAUAACCUACCUAUAAGACUGGGAUAACUUCGGGAAACCGGAGCUAAUACCGGAUAAUAUUUUGAACCGCAUGGUUCAAAAGUGAAAGACGGUCUUGCUGUCACUUAUAGAUGGAUCCGCGCUGCAUUAGCUAGUUGGUAAGGUAACGGCUUACCAAGGCAACGAUGCAUAGCCGACCUGAGAGGGUGAUCGGCCACACUGGAACUGAGACACGGUCCAGACUCCUACGGGAGGCAGCAGUAGGGAAUCUUGCGCAAUGGGCGAAAGCCUGACGGAGCAACGCCGCGUGAGUGGUGAAGGUCUUCGGAUCGUAAAACUCUGUUAUUAGGGAAGAACAUAUGUGUAAGUAACUGUGCACAUCUUGACGGUACCUAAUCAGAAAGCCACGGCUAACUACGUG